CAAUAGCGUAUAUUUAAGUUGUUGCAGUUAAAAAGCUCGUAGUCGGAUUUUGGCUGAGAACGAUCGGUCCGCCGUUAGGUGUGCACUGAUUGGUCUCAGCUUCCUGGUGAGGAGGUGUGCUUCACGGCCACUUAGUCACCGUGGUUACUUUGAAAAAAUUAGAGUGUUCAAAGCGGGCUUACGCUUGAAUAUAUUAGCAUGGAAUAACACCAUAGGACUCCUGUCCUAUUUCGUUGGUCUCGGGACGGGAGUAAUGAUUAAGAGGAACAGUUGGGGGCAUUCGUAUUUCAUUGUCAGAGGUGAAACUCUUGGAUUUAUGAAAGACGAACUUCUGCGAAAGCAUUUGCCAAGGAUGUUUUCAUUGA
Molecule: ribosomal RNA, 365 nt
Filed under: uncultured eukaryote
Lineage: Eukaryota
Description: partial 18S ribosomal RNA
Rfam family: Eukaryotic small subunit ribosomal RNA
Source: RNAcentral